Molecule: non-coding RNA, 750 nt
Organism: Styela clava
Lineage: Eukaryota; Metazoa; Chordata; Ascidiacea; Stolidobranchia; Styelidae
Source: RefSeq, a predicted model, not a curated record
UAUUUUUAGAGAGUGAAAAGAACUGAAGUUCCGUGACUGAGUAGAAUUUAGUUGAAUAAACCUCCCCGUUUAUAGGCUGCACAGUGUCUCGCCAAGUAAUAUAACUUGAUUGUUACCCUUACUUCGCAGACUAUGUACCCCGUGUAGUUCAUUAUAUAAGUCAAGGCGCUUAACAACUAAAUAUAUAACGAUAACAGUUGCGCGAAUUCAGCUAUAUUCAUAAUAUUUUUUGAGGAAAUAACUACAUUAAAUACAAGAAUGGACUCGUCUGUUAGUGUUUGCAGGAUGAAAGACAUUGUGCGUCAACUCAACAUCGAGAAAGACAUCAAGCGUGAACCUGUUUCCACUGUGUCAAGUGACUUAAUGGAAUAUUGUCAAAAACACUUUCACGAAGAUUUUCUGGUUUCCCAGCAAUCACCAAAUCCUUUCAAGAAGGGGAAAAAAGACUCCUGUACAGUCAUGUGAUAUUUUUUCUUACUGAACCACCUAUCAACAAGUUAUUGGAAAAGACGCUUGCACGUACAUUUUAAUUCAUCAUUCAAGCUAAAGAUUUUAUAAGUUUAUAAACUCAAAAUAUAUCAUGCAUCGUACGAACCUACCUGAAUUUGUAAUGACAUUGGCUGAUUCAAUAUGUGAAUUGAUGUCGUCAUAUACCUGACGAACCCAUAUUUAAAAUUUUGAACAUGUAGUACGCAUUCAUGAAAUUUUCCUGACUUUUUGAAGCUAUAUGAGUGCACCAGAAUGCAACGA